RNAcentral lists this long non-coding RNA (879 nucleotides) under Anser cygnoides (Swan goose). RNAcentral's name for it is "lncRNA (ENSACDG00005018405.1)". The record is from RNAcentral. Lineage: Eukaryota; Metazoa; Chordata; Aves; Anseriformes; Anatidae.
GGACAGUAAAAGUAAAAGGGAUAGGAUUAUUCCUCUUCCGCUGCUGUCCUCUUCCCUUAAUAAUCACGAGGGAUCGGUGUCUUUCAUGGGAGCAGAGGAAAGUGAAACUUCUGUGACUUCAAGGAGUGGACACAGGUAUUAUGCAUGCAGUGUUUAAAGGAAACUCAACAGCUGGGUGGUUUCUUUAAAGUUCGUGCCACAUCCUGUAGGAUGUUAGAAUGAGCUGCUUAGAACACCAAGAUGGGAAGUUGGUCCUGCCCUGAAAAGCUGGCAAGUUAUAUCUACCAGUAAAAAUGUUUUUAGACCACAGAGCACAGGGCAGCCUCCAGGGAAGCCAGCAUGCCUCAAACCACUGGAGGACUCUACCACUGCAGGCAGCCUCUGUGGAAGAUGAGGAGAGAUUCCAGGAGCAAAUUAUGGCAUCUCCCUUUGGGUACACUCAGAUGCAGACGGAGAACCCAGGCUAUGCUCAUCACGAUGGUACCUGCUUAGUGUUAUGUCUGGACAUCAUGCAACAACGUGAAAGAGUUCUCUCCGCUCUUUGCUGAAGGGGAACAGAGUCCAGUUCCAUCCUUGAUUUGCAGUUCAGAUUCCCACAUUGUUAUUGCUGGGUUGCUAUUUAUCACAUUAAAUUAUACCGUAGAUGUCUGAUGCCAGACUUAAGUGCAGAGAUAUAAAUGGUAUUUGAUAUUUUUCUGAACUAAAGAUUAUUUUGGCACUUAAAUGCUGUUAGACAUUUACUAUCAUGCUUUACAGCUUCAAAACAUAUGACAUAAUAUUUCUUAACAUUUUAACUAUCCUAAAAAUCUGUAACUAAGCACUUGAUUUAGAUUCAGUAAGUUACUGUAUGUUAAAUAAAUGCUAACUCAAGAGAAAACA